Molecule: ribosomal RNA, 497 nt
Filed under: uncultured bacterium
Lineage: Bacteria
Description: partial 16S ribosomal RNA
Rfam family: Bacterial small subunit ribosomal RNA
Source: RNAcentral
GAUGAACGCUGGCGGCGUGCCUAAUACAUGCAAGUCGAGCGAACAGACGAGGAGCUUGCUCCUCUGACGUUAGCGGCGGACGGGUGAGUAACACGUGGAUAACCUACCUAUAAGACUGGGAUAACUUCGGGAAACCGGAGCUAAUACCGGAUAAUAUAUUGAACCGCAUGGUUCAAUGGUGAAAGACGGUUUUGCUGUCACUUAUAGAUGGAUCCGCGCCGCAUUAGCUAGUUGGUAAGGUAACGGCUUACCAAGGCAACGAUGCGUAGCCGACCUGAGAGGGUGAUCGGCCACACUGGAACUGAGACACGGUCCAGACUCCUACGGGAGGCAGGAGUAGGGAAUCUUCCGCAAUGGGCGAAAGCCUGACGGAGCAACGCCGCGUGAGUGAUGAAGGUCUUCGGAUCGUAAAACUCUGUUAUUAGGGAAGAACAAAUGUGUAAGUAACUAUGCACGUCUUGACGGUACCUAAUCAGAAAGCCACGGCUAACUACGUG